AAAUGUGUAUUCUGAACACCUGGGGCGGGUUUCAGUUGCUUAAAUAUCAGCCCUCAUACUACUCUAGCUUUCAGCUCCUUGAAAGGGUAGUGUGGGGCUGGUGGAGAUGACCUGGGACUGGUGGAGCCACCUAUCUUCUGAAGUAGCAGGAUGACUGGCUGUGUGAUGAAAGGGAAAGCAGAGGGUGCUGUAUACCUUGACUUCAGCAAGUCCUUUGACACCACUUCCUGCAGUACUCUGGCUACCAAAUUGGUGAGAUCUGGAUUGAAUAAGGAGAUAAUAAGGUCUAACACUUGGCUUGAACUGUGGAUCUUGAGAAAAAAACUACCAGCUUUUGGUAAUAGGGAUGGAGGGGGAAUUAUUUUACUUUCCACUUUGUUUCCUCUUUAAUAACAGCCUCACAUAUAUAGGCACUGCAC
This is a long non-coding RNA of Corapipo altera (White-ruffed manakin), 419 nucleotides long. RefSeq lists it as uncharacterized. The transcript has 3 exons. NCBI's taxonomy places the organism in Eukaryota, Metazoa, Chordata, Aves, Passeriformes, Pipridae. The record is from RefSeq and is a predicted model, not a curated record.